GACGAACGUUGGCGGCGUGCUCAACACAUGCAAGUCGUACGGUAAGGCCCUUUCGGGGGUACACGAGUGGCCAACGGGUGUGUAACACGUGCGUAACCUGCCCACAACUUUGGGAUAACGCUAGGAAACUGGUGCUAGUACAGGAUAUGUGCUCCUGCUGCAGGGUGGGGGUUGGAAAGCUCCGGCGGUUGUGGAUGGACACGCGGCCUUUCAGCUUGUUGGUGGGGUAGUGGCCUACCAAGGCGGCGACGGGUAGCCGGCCUGUGAGGGUGACCGGCCACAUUGGGACUGAGAUACGGCCCAGACUCCUACGGGAGGCAGCAGUGGGGAAUAUUGCACAAUGGGCGCAAGCCUGAUGCAGCAACGCCGCGUGCGGGAUGACGGCCUUCGGGUUGUAAACCGCUUUCAGCAGGGACGAAGCUUUUUGUGACGGUACCUGCAGAAGAAGCACCGGCUAACUACGUG
RNAcentral lists this ribosomal RNA (465 nucleotides) under uncultured bacterium. RNAcentral's name for it is "partial 16S ribosomal RNA". It matches the Rfam family "Bacterial small subunit ribosomal RNA", at positions 28 to 507 of the family's 1533-position model. The record is from RNAcentral.